RNAcentral lists this ribosomal RNA (433 nucleotides) under uncultured bacterium. RNAcentral's name for it is "partial 16S ribosomal RNA". It matches the Rfam family "Bacterial small subunit ribosomal RNA", at positions 29 to 507 of the family's 1533-position model. The record is from RNAcentral.
AACGAACGCUGGCGGCAUGCCUAACACAUGCAAGUCGAACGGGACCUUCGGGUCUAGUGGCGCACGGGUGCGUAACGCGUGGGAACCUGCCCUUAGGUUCGGAAUAACUCCCCGAAAGGGGUGCUAAUACCGGAUAAUGUCUUCGGACCAAAGAUUUAUCGCCUUUGGAUGGGCCCGCGUUGGAUUAGCUAGUUGGUAGGGUAAAAGCCUACCAAGGCGACGAUCCAUAGCUGGUCUGAGAGGAUGAUCAGCCACACUGGGACUGAGACACGGCCCAGACUCCUAAGGGAGGCAGCAGGGGGGAAUAUUGGACAAUGGGCGAAAGCCUGAUCCAGCAAGGCCGGGGGAGUGAUGAAGGCCUUAGGGUUGUAAAGCUCUUUUACCCGGGAUGAUAAUGACAGUACCGGGAGAAUAAGCUCCGGCUAACUCCGUG